UGGGACCCUGGCAGUGUAGAAAGACUC
This 27-nucleotide non-coding RNA is filed under the name Mus musculus (house mouse). Lineage: Eukaryota; Metazoa; Chordata; Mammalia; Rodentia; Muridae. The record is from RNAcentral.